GCUAUAAUAUUUAUUCAUAUAAUAGUUUCAUAAAUUAUCCAUAUGAAUUAGAAAUUGUAAGAUUAAAUCCAUUAACAAUUCCUUGUGCAUGGUUAUGUCGAGCUUCUUAAGCUCUUUAAUAUCCUUGAUCAUUAUCAAAUAGUAAUCAUGAACAAACUACCCAUCACACAUCUCAUACGCUGUGCGACUCUGAUCAUCUCACAACUACUGC
Molecule: long non-coding RNA, 211 nt
Filed under: Elaeis guineensis (African oil palm)
Lineage: Eukaryota; Viridiplantae; Streptophyta; Magnoliopsida; Arecales; Arecaceae
Description: long non-coding RNA (EGUI_LNC044612)
Source: RNAcentral